Molecule: ribosomal RNA, 112 nt
Filed under: Pteropus alecto (black flying fox)
Lineage: Eukaryota; Metazoa; Chordata; Mammalia; Chiroptera; Pteropodidae
Source: RNAcentral
GUCUACAGCCAUGCCACCCUGAAUGUUAUCGAUCUCAUCUGAUAUUGGAAGCUAAGCAGGGUCGGGCCUGGUUAGUACUUGAAUCACUUAGGAAUACCAGAUGCUGUAGGUG